Molecule: unclassified non-coding RNA, 203 nt
Filed under: rhizosphere metagenome
Description: partial ribosomal RNA internal transcribed spacer region
Source: RNAcentral
AUUUGCAUCAACAGGUGGGCUUCAACUGUACCUUUGGUUCGGCUGAUUCCUACCUGUCUGACGUUACCCAUGCCUUUUUGCGUACAAUUUGUUUUCCUAGCAGGGCAUUAUGCCCCUACAGGAUAUCAAACCACCCUUGUAUUUGCAGUCCAUGUCUGAAAACUAUAAUAAUUACAACUUUUAACAACGGAUCUCUUGGUUCU